Molecule: ribosomal RNA, 406 nt
Filed under: uncultured bacterium
Lineage: Bacteria
Description: partial 16S ribosomal RNA
Rfam family: Bacterial small subunit ribosomal RNA
Source: RNAcentral
AUUGAACGCUGGCGGCAGGCCUAACACAUGCAAGUCGAACGAGUGGCGGACGGGUGAGUAAUGUCUGGGAAACUGCCCGAUGGAGGGGGAUAACUACUGGAAACGGUAGCUAAUACCGCAUACCAUCGGAUGUGCCCAUAUGGGAUUAGCUAGUUGGUGGGGUAACGGCUCACCAAGGCGACGAUCCCUAGCUGGUCUGAGAGGAUGAUCAGCCACACUGGAACUGAGACACGGGCCAGACUCCUACGGGAGGCAGCAGUGGGGAAUAUUGCACAAUGGGCGCAAGCCUGAUGCAGCCAUGCCGCGUGUAUGAAGAAGGCCUUAGGGUUGUAAAGUACUUUCAGCGGGGAGGCGUUACCCGCAGAAGAAGCACCGGCUAACUCCGUGCCAGCAGCCGCGGUAAUUC